Molecule: ribosomal RNA, 507 nt
Filed under: uncultured bacterium
Lineage: Bacteria
Description: bacterial SSU rRNA
Rfam family: Bacterial small subunit ribosomal RNA
Source: RNAcentral
AGUCAAUAGAUACCCUGGUAGUCCACGCCGUAAACGAUGAGUACUAGGUGUAGGAGGUAUCGACUCCUUCUGUGCCGCAGUUAACACAAUAAGUACUCCGCCUGGGAAGUACGGUCGCAAGAUUAAAGCUCAAAGGAAUUGACGGGGGCCCGCACAAGCAGCGGAGCAUGUGGUUUAAUUCGAAGCAACGCGAAGAACCUUACCUAGACUUGACAUCUCCUGAAUAGCGCAGAGAUGCGUGAAGCCCUUCGGGGCAGGAAGACAGGUGGUGCAUGGUUGUCGUCAGCUCGUGUCGUGAGAUGUUGGGUUAAGUCCCGCAACGAGCGCAACCCCUAUUAUUAGUUGCUACCAUUAAGUUGAGCACUCUAAUGAGACUGCCCGGGGUUAACCGGAAGGAAGGCGGGGAUGACGUCAAAUCAUCAUGCCCCUUAUGUCUAGGGCUACACACGUGCUACAAUGGUGAGAACAACGAGAUGCAAUACCGCGAGGUGGAGCAAAGCUUGAAAA